UACGAAGGGGGCUAGCGUUGCUCGGAAUCACUGGGCGUAAAGGGCGCGUAGGCGGCGUUUUAAGUCGGGGGUGAAAGCCUGUGGCUCAACCAGAGAAUGGCCUUCGAUACUGGGACGCUUGAGUAUGGUAGAGGUUGGUGGAACUGCGAGUGUAGAGGUGAAAUUCGUAGAUAUUCGCAAGAACACCGGUGGCGAAGGCGGCCAACUGGACCAUUACUGACGCUGAGGCGCGAAAGCGUGGGGAGCAAACAGG
This 253-nucleotide ribosomal RNA is filed under the name uncultured bacterium. Its description in RNAcentral is "partial 16S ribosomal RNA". It matches the Rfam family "Bacterial small subunit ribosomal RNA", at positions 524 to 776 of the family's 1533-position model. The record is from RNAcentral.